Molecule: ribosomal RNA, 484 nt
Filed under: uncultured bacterium
Lineage: Bacteria
Description: bacterial SSU rRNA
Rfam family: Bacterial small subunit ribosomal RNA
Source: RNAcentral
GAUGAACGCUAGCGGAGGCUUAACACAUGCAAGUCGAGGGGUAAAUGGUAGCAAUACUAUGAGACCGGCGGACGGGUGCGUAACGCGUAUGCAACAUACCUUGUGCAGGGGGAUAGCCCGUGGAAACGCGGAUUAAUAUUCCAUAGUCCAGCUAUAUCGCAUGGUAUAGUUGGUAAAGAUUUAUCGGCACAAGUUUGGCAUGCGUCUGAUUAGCUUGUUGGUAGGGUAACGGCCUACCAAGGCUACGAUCAGUAGGGGUUCUGAGAGGAUUAACCCCCACACUGGUACUGAGACACGGACCAGACUCCUACGGGAGGCAGCAGUGAGGAAUAUUGGUCAAUGGGCGGAAGCCUGAACCAGCCAUCCCGCGUGAAGGAAGACAGCCUUACGGGUUGUAAACUUCUUUUGUACGGAACGAAACGGCGAGCUCUAAUACAGUUUGCUAAUGACGGUACCGUAAGAAUAAGCACCGGCUAACUACGUG